UCUGGUUCAUACCCGACUGGGACCUGGAUGGUGUCGGGGUCAAUGGGACUCGGUGUGUUUCGGUUUGCUGGCAACAGCUGGCCUGGAAAACACACAGGAGUUUUAACAUGCCAACUCUAAGGCAACCCAGGGCUAGUUCCAGCUCGAUUCAAAUGCUUCUAAUUCCCACUUCUUCUUCCUCGGGACGAGCUUUAAUCUCACCGCAUCAGCAUCUGCAUCAGCAACACGAGGUGGAAUGAGGUGAGGUGGGUAAUCCCACCGUCCAGACGUCAGUGGAAGAUGCUGUGGAAACCUCACACCAUAAAACCCCAAAGGGUCACAGUCUCAGAGUUAGGGAUUUCUACCCUUAUUGUGUUGGCAGUUGUUUUUCAAAUCAUAAAUAAGAACAUUUAAUUUCCUC
This is a non-coding RNA of Rattus norvegicus (Norway rat), 400 nucleotides long. Lineage: Eukaryota; Metazoa; Chordata; Mammalia; Rodentia; Muridae. The record is from RefSeq and is a predicted model, not a curated record.